CAGAAAUGCAGAAGAACCAGAGUUGAAUAUCUGCCUAUUCUUUAUCUGAGCUUUUCAUGAGCAUGAGCAGGCUUUGGUCCACUCCAGUAAACUCAAGCCAGUGCAGUGAUUUACACAUCUCCUUCACUAAUUCUGUCUCUGGGUGAAAUUGUUUAGUCUCUUAAAUUCCAACUUCCUCCUUCUUAGGAAGAAUUUACCCUGCCCAUUCCUUGGUGGGAGUCACUGGUGGUGACCCAUAUUGUCCACCUGCACCAGCUGUGACCAGGAGCCUUUUGCUGGAGCCUGCUGGUUGGUUAUACGUGGGGCUGGCCUUCCCACUGUCAUCUGUCAUUCUUUCUCUACUUUGUCAAACUCAUCCGAUCCUUGAUUGGCAUGUAUGUCCAACAAGCUGAGAGAGGCUGGGAAAGACAGAAUUCCCCCUGCCCCAGCCCAACCACUUGCUCCUCCAGAGACUUUCUGCUCGGUAGCUUUCUCCCAGAGUCUAAAGGAUUUCUGAGAUUCCUCUGUGCUGUGGCAUGUUGCCCCACCAAAAGAUUUCAGCACAAGGGAAGAAUCUGGUCUUUCUGGCUCCUUGGACUGAAGGCCUCUUGAGAAGCUUCUCCCACUCCCUGAAACACUUCUCACCACAGGGCGUUCAAUAAACAGGAAUGGUCAAACAAGGCGUCUGACCACAUUAAAGGAGGAAGCAGCCUUGGAAAGAAAGACAUCAGUGCAUGCCUUUGUUAGCAGGAAAAACAGAAAAUUAAUGUCAGGCUUGUCACACAUAACUCGCAAUGCUUCUUAUUCUGCUGUAUCAAGAGAUUGCCAUACAGAGCAACAACUGGCUCAUUUUCACUGGGCCACAUGUAAAUAAUGCAAGACAACUCUGAGGACAGAGCUCUGGAUGAGCUCUCCACCGCCACCUCUUCCAUUCCCCUGUGCCUGUCACACUUCUCUGCCCACAUGGCCUUCCAAGUGAAUUUGGUAUAAGAUUUCCCUCCAUUUUGUCUUUGAGGGCAAAAUGAGAUUUGAGGUCAUUUUCCC
Molecule: long non-coding RNA, 1023 nt
Filed under: Fukomys damarensis (Damara mole-rat)
Lineage: Eukaryota; Metazoa; Chordata; Mammalia; Rodentia; Bathyergidae
Description: lncRNA (ENSFDAG00000023875.1)
Source: RNAcentral